AUCGUUUGGUUGAACUUUUGCAUUUGUGUCUUUAUGCAUCCGACAUGUUCGACGAAAUGCUUCAUCCAUCUAAGGAAAUCAAGGGUGAAUUCAACUCCGGUAAAUCAACGGUGAUUAAUGCACUUCUUGGGGAAAGAUACCUGAAAGAGGGAGUUGUUCCAACUACUAAUGAGAAAGAAAUGACAAUUGUUGAUACGCCUGGAACUAAUGUGAUUCUUCAGAGGCAACAACGUCUCACAGAGGAAUUUGUACGACGCACUGACUUGUGACACAAGAUUACCGAUAUGCCAAGCAGGACUUAGCUGCAGUGAAUGGUAUUGUCAAUAGUGUAAAUGAUUUUGCAAUGGAUAUGGAAACCAAGAGCCUUUCUUGGAGGAGACAAACUUCUUCUUUGGUAAUUGAUUGAGACUACAAAAUCACGUGCUGUGGAGCUCAUUGAAUCUACUCUACUAUUGUCAAAUCUUGAUAUUGUUGCUUCAUUUAAUUAUUGGAGGAUAUUCCUUUUCCUCUUUUUCUUUUUUAUCCUUAAAUUGAAAAUUUAAUCAUUAAAAUAGUUUAUUAUAGCAUGCACCAGAGUCCCUUAUUUCACUGUUGCCUUGCUCAUCAUUGGCAUUGCCCUUGGUUCCAUAGGUACCUUCCCCUCUUGUCUUAUUAUAGUUGACCUUUUCUCUCAGUAUUUAUCUUUUAAAUUUCAAGCAUUAGGUUUUUGGUUUCAAAAAGAAACCCAUAUGGGGGAAGUUAAUUUUUGCUGGAUAAGGAUAGGCUGCCUUGUCUGUGUACAAAGGGGUGAAGAAAAAAAGAGAGGAGACAACAUAUUUGCCUACUUUGCCAUGUCAUUUGGAUCAAUAUGAAAAUGAUCAAGACGAACUAAGGAGUUGUUUUUGGGGGAUAUGGGGGGAUCUAAUAAUCUAUACACUGUUUACAUAAUAAGCAUCUAUUUGCCUUUCAUUUUUUUAUUGGAGUAGAAGUGCAUGAUUGAUUAAUUGUUAACUCCUGAACAGAGUAGGGUACUCAUCAUCGGCUGGGAAAGAUUGGGGAUGGAAUUCGUAUUUGUAAAUUUGUUCUCUUUUUAUUCAAUUUAUUCUGGAAUUUGAGCACUUGCUAUUAAAAGAAAAACAAGUGCUUUUCAUUUUACUGCUUUGAAACAUGCGUAUUGACAUGUUGAAACAAGGUCAUUAAAACCUCUUUUUUCUCCGCAGAGAAGAGAUGGUCUAAUCUCUUACCAUUUGUCGUAGGAGUUAAGGAUGUGACAUCCCUUUCUUCAAAUUCCAGCUUUCUCACAAGCUGAUAUCGUCCCUCAAGCUUCACUUGGUCCAAUAAUAAUGGGAAUGCAAUGAAUAAGGGUCAGGCAGCGAAAAGGGAUUGCUAAAGUUUUCCUGAGCAUUAUUUUAUUACUUUCUUUUUUCCACUGCCAUCACUUUAAUUCUGACGUAUAGACGUAUACAGUUAUCAUGACGGAACAAACUAUAUACGUAGAAAUACUGGCAUCGGAUUAGCUUUCAUGGCCGUAGCCAAGGGUUACAAGGUCAAAAUUACAAUGCCUGCUUCAAUGAGUCUCGAAAGAAGAAUCACUCUGUUGGCUUUCGGGGCUGAGUUGGUUCUGACAAACCCUGCAAAGGGAAUGAAAAGAGCCCUUCAGAAGGCUGAAGAAAUUGUGGCUAAGACUUUCAAUUCCUACAUGCCUCAGCAAUUUGUGUAUAUAAUGUAGAUUUACUCUUAAAUCCUUUUUUUUCUUGUAGUAUUUGUGUUAUUUAAAUUUGUAUUAUGUUUUAUUAAUUUUUAAGAGAAAUUUUUGUAUAAAUAUUUUGAAUUUAAUAAAAUAUUUUAUUUUAUA
This is a non-coding RNA of Arachis ipaensis, 1834 nucleotides long. NCBI's taxonomy places the organism in Eukaryota, Viridiplantae, Streptophyta, Magnoliopsida, Fabales, Fabaceae. The record is from RefSeq and is a predicted model, not a curated record.